GGGGAUGUAAGUUUCGACGGAAGCAUUUAUGUAGCUUUGCGUUACGGAAGGGCGAGACCUUCCUUAAAAUCUCGCAAAAUAGAACUGCCAACGCACGUUCAGGAGAGCAGGGUUCCCGAAUGGCCUCGCCAUUUGGGUUUCCGGCUUUCGCUUUCGCCUAACCCUCGAGCGUAAGCUCGGGUUAGCGAGAGCCGUCUCUCUAGUUUUGGUUUCAAGGGACUAGAAUAGGCGUAACAUUCUUGAAACUUUGCUCUAGUACUUGGCCCGACAUUAGAGCAAGAUACGGGCACAGGUGGGAUAAGAUUUCGUUCACUCUUUUACUUACCCAUCCAAAAAAAAGUGAACUAUGUAACGUAGAUGAGGCCUCAUAUACCUUCCGGACGGGGGUUCAAUCCCCCCAUCUCCACAC
This 409-nucleotide transfer-messenger RNA is filed under the name Parcubacteria group bacterium RIFCSPHIGHO2_01_FULL_45_26. It matches the Rfam family "transfer-messenger RNA". From Rfam's summary of the family: Bacterial tmRNA, also known as 10Sa RNA or SsrA, is named for its dual tRNA and mRNA-like properties. RNAcentral also lists the same sequence under 1 other name. The record is from RNAcentral.